RNAcentral lists this ribosomal RNA (465 nucleotides) under uncultured bacterium. RNAcentral describes it as "bacterial SSU rRNA". It matches the Rfam family "Bacterial small subunit ribosomal RNA", at positions 327 to 805 of the family's 1533-position model. The record is from RNAcentral.
ACGACUACACUCCUACGGGAGGCAGCAGUGGGGAAUAUUGCACAAUGGGCGGAAGCCUGAUGCAGCAACGCCGCGUGCGGGAUGACGGCCUUCGGGUUGUAAACCGCUUUCGCCUGUGACGUAGCGUGAGUGACGGUAAUGGGUAAAGAAGCACCGGCUAACUACGUGCCAGCAGCCGCGGUGAUACGUAGGGUGCGAGCGUUGUCCGGAUUUAUUGGGCGUAAAGGGCUCGUAGGUGGUUGAUCGCGUCGGAAGUGUAAUCUUGGGGCUUAACCCUGAGCGUGCUUUCGAUACGGGUUGACUUGAGGAAGGUAGGGGAGAAUGGAAUUCCUGGUGGAGCGGUGGAAUGCGCAGAUAUCAGGAGGAACACCAGUGGCGAAGGCGGUUCUCUGGGCCUUUCCUGACGCUGAGGAGCGAAAGCGUGGGGAGCGAACAGGAUUAGAUACCCGGGUAGUCCACCAAUCC